This 501-nucleotide ribosomal RNA is filed under the name uncultured bacterium. RNAcentral's name for it is "partial 16S ribosomal RNA". It matches the Rfam family "Bacterial small subunit ribosomal RNA", at positions 30 to 523 of the family's 1533-position model. The record is from RNAcentral.
AUUGAACGCUGGCGGCAGGCUUAACACAUGCAAGUCGAGCGGAGAUGAGGUGCUUGCACCUUAUCUUAGCGGCGGACGGGUGAGUAAUGCUUAGGAAUCCGCCUAUUAGUGGGGGACAACAUUCCGAAAGGAAUGCUAAUACCGCAUACGUCCUACGGGAGAAAGCAGGGGAUCUUCGGACCUUGCGCUAAUAGAUGAGCCUAAGUCGGAUUAGCUAGUUGGUGGGGUAAAGGCCUACCAAGGCGACGAUCUGUAGCGGGUCUGAGAGGAUGAUCCGCCACACUGGAACUGAGACACGGCCCAGACUCCUACGGGAGGCAGCAGUGGGGAAUAUUGGACAAUGGGGGAAACCCUGAUCCAGCCAUGCCGCGUGUGUGAAGAAGGCCUUAUGGUUGUAAAGCACUUUAAGCGAGGAGGAGGCUACUGAGACUAAUACUCUUGGAUAGUGGACGUUACUCGCAGAAUAAGCACCGGCUAACUCUGUGCCAGCCGCCGCCGUAA